ACGCGCCGCCGCAAACAAAACAGGGGACAGGGUGGAUCAGGCUUGGCUUCUCUCCUUCUUCCUCUCCUCACCGGCGGUGAACACCACCGUCACCUGCAACCAAAAGAAAACGCACAAGCAGUCUGUUUUAGUUAAUUUUUCAGAUCUGUUUUCCUUUGCUUUCCAUCAUUAUCUGUUCAAGUUCUUCGUUCUCCGGUCUGUUCUUGGGGCUUCGCCGAGAGGAGAGGGUCUGGUGCCGGUUGCAGAUCGGGCGGUGCUGCUGGCUGAUGGUGGAUCUGUGGACGGCGCUGCUGGCGGACGGUGUGGACGGCGCUGUUCGGCCGAAG
Molecule: long non-coding RNA, 326 nt
Filed under: Populus tremula
Lineage: Eukaryota; Viridiplantae; Streptophyta; Magnoliopsida; Malpighiales; Salicaceae
Description: long non-coding RNA (PTRE_LNC003480)
Source: RNAcentral